Molecule: ribosomal RNA, 2897 nt
Filed under: Escherichia coli
Lineage: Bacteria; Pseudomonadati; Pseudomonadota; Gammaproteobacteria; Enterobacterales; Enterobacteriaceae
Description: 23S ribosomal RNA
Rfam family: Bacterial large subunit ribosomal RNA
Source: RNAcentral
UUAAGCGACUAAGCGUACACGGUGGAUGCCCUGGCAGUCAGAGGCGAUGAAGGACGUGCUAAUCUGCGAUAAGCGUCGGUAAGGUGAUAUGAACCGUUAUAACCGGCGAUUUCCGAAUGGGGAAACCCAGUGUGAUUCGUCACACUAUCAUUAACUGAAUCCAUAGGUUAAUGAGGCGAACCGGGGGAACUGAAACAUCUAAGUACCCCGAGGAAAAGAAAUCAACCGAGAUUCCCCCAGUAGCGGCGAGCGAACGGGGAGCAGCCCAGAGCCUGAAUCAGUGUGUGUGUUAGUGGAAGCGUCUGGAAAGGCGCGCGAUACAGGGUGACAGCCCCGUACACAAAAAUGCACAUACUGUGAGCUCGAUGAGUAGGGCGGGACACGUGGUAUCCUGUCUGAAUAUGGGGGGACCAUCCUCCAAGGCUAAAUACUCCUGACUGACCGAUAGUGAACCAGUACCGUGAGGGAAAGGCGAAAAGAACCCCGGCGAGGGGAGUGAAAAAGAACCUGAAACCGUGUACGUACAAGCAGUGGGAGCCUCUUAAUGGGGUGACUGCGUACCUUUUGUAUAAUGGGUCAGCGACUUAUAUUCUGUAGCAAGGUUAACCGAAUAGGGGAGCCGAAGGGAAACCGAGUCUUAACUGGGCGUUAAGUUGCAGGGUAUAGACCCGAAACCCGGUGAUCUAGCCAUGGGCAGGUUGAAGGUUGGGUAACACUAACUGGAGGACCGAACCGACUAAUGUUGAAAAAUUAGCGGAUGACUUGUGGCUGGGGGUGAAAGGCCAAUCAAACCGGGAGAUAGCUGGUUCUCCCCGAAAGCUAUUUAGGUAGCGCCUCGUGAAUUCAUCUCCGGGGGUAGAGCACUGUUUCGGCAAGGGGGUCAUCCCGACUUACCAACCCGAUGCAAACUGCGAAUACCGGAGAAUGUUAUCACGGGAGACACACGGCGGGUGCUAACGUCCGUCGUGAAGAGGGAAACAACCCAGACCGCCAGCUAAGGUCCCAAAGUCAUGGUUAAGUGGGAAACGAUGUGGGAAGGCCCAGACAGCCAGGAUGUUGGCUUAGAAGCAGCCAUCAUUUAAAGAAAGCGUAAUAGCUCACUGGUCGAGUCGGCCUGCGCGGAAGAUGUAACGGGGCUAAACCAUGCACCGAAGCUGCGGCAGCGACACUAUGUGUUGUUGGGUAGGGGAGCGUUCUGUAAGCCUGUGAAGGUGUACUGUGAGGUAUGCUGGAGGUAUCAGAAGUGCGAAUGCUGACAUAAGUAACGAUAAAGCGGGUGAAAAGCCCGCUCGCCGGAAGACCAAGGGUUCCUGUCCAACGUUAAUCGGGGCAGGGUGAGUCGACCCCAAGGCGAGGCCGAAAGGCGUAGUCGAUGGGAAACAGGUUAAUAUUCCUGUACUUGGUGUUACUGCGAAGGGGGGACGGAGAAGGCUAUGUUGGCCGGGCGACGGUUGUCCCGGUUUAAGCGUGUAGGCUGGUUUUCCAGGCAAAUCCGGAAAAUCAAGGCUGAGGCGUGAUGACGAGGCACUACGGUGCUGAAGCAACAAAUGCCCUGCUUCCGUGAAAGCCUCUAAGCAUCAGGUAACAUCAAAUCGUACCCCAAACCGACACAGGUGGUCAGGUAGAGAAUACCAAGGCGCUUGAGAGAACUCGGGUGAAGGAACUAGGCAAAAUGGUGCCGUAACUUCGGGAGAAGGCACGCUGAUAUGUAGGUGAAGUCCCUUGCGGAUGGAGCUGAAAUCAGUCGAAGAUACCAGCUGGCUGCAACUGUUUAUUAAAAACACAGCACUGUGCAAACACGAAAGUGGACGUAUACGGUGUGACGCCUGCCCGGUGCCGGAAGGUUAAUUGAUGGGGUUAGCGGUAACGCGAAGCUCUUGAUCGAAGCCCCGGUAAACGGCGGCCGUAACUAUAACGGUCCUAAGGUAGCGAAAUUCCUUGUCGGGUAAGUUCCGACCUGCACGAAUGGCGUAAUGAUGGCUGCUGUCUCCACCCGAGACUCAGUGAAAUUGAACUCGCUGUGAAGAUGCAGUGUACCCGCGGCAAGACGGAAAGACCCCGUGAACCUUUACUAUAGCUUGACACUGAACAUUGAGCCUUGAUGUGUAGGAUAGGUGGGAGGCUUUGAAGUGUGGACGCCAGUCUGCAUGGAGCCGACCUUGAAAUACCACCCUUUAAUGUUUGAUGUUCUAACGUUGGCCCCUAAUCGGGGUUGCGGACAGUGUCUGGUGGGUAGUUUGACUGGGGCGGUCUCCUCCUAAAGAGUAACGGAGGAGCACGAAGGUUGGCUAAUCCUGGUCGGACAUCAGGAGGUUAGUGCAAUGGCAUAAGCCAGCUUGACUGCGAGCGUGACGGCGCGAGCAGGUGCGAAAGCAGGUCAUAGUGAUCCGGUGGUUCUGAAUGGAAGGGCCAUCGCUCAACGGAUAAAAGGUACUCCGGGGAUAACAGGCUGAUACCGCCCAAGAGUUCAUAUCGACGGCGGUGUUUGGCACCUCGAUGUCGGCUCAUCACAUCCUGGGGCUGAAGUAGGUCCCAAGGGUAUGGCUGUUCGCCAUUUAAAGUGGUACGCGAGCUGGGUUUAGAACGUCGUGAGACAGUUCGGUCCCUAUCUGCCGUGGGCGCUGGAGAACUGAGGGGGGCUGCUCCUAGUACGAGAGGACCGGAGUGGACGCAUCACUGGUGUUCGGGUUGUCAUGCCAAUGGCACUGCCCGGUAGCUAAAUGCGGAAGAGAUAAGUGCUGAAAGCAUCUAAGCACGAAACUUGCCCCGAGAUGAGUUCUCCCUGACUCCCUGAGAGUCCUGAAGGAACGUUGAAGACGACGACGUUGAUAGGCCGGGUGUGUAAGCGCAGCGAUGCGUUGAGCUAACCGGUACUAAUGAACCGUGAGGCUUAACCU